This 253-nucleotide ribosomal RNA is filed under the name uncultured bacterium. RNAcentral's name for it is "partial 16S ribosomal RNA". It matches the Rfam family "Bacterial small subunit ribosomal RNA", at positions 524 to 776 of the family's 1533-position model. The record is from RNAcentral.
GACGAACCGUGCGAACGUUGUUCGGAAUCACUGGGCAUAAAGGGCGCGUAGGCGGCUUAUCAAGUCAGGGGUGAAAUCCGGCAGCUCAACUGUCGAAGUGCCUUUGAUACUGAUGAGCUCGAGGGAGGUAGGGGUCUGUGGAACUUCCGGUGGAGCGGUGAAAUGCGUUGAUAUCGGAAGGAACGCCGGUGGCGAAAGCGACGGACUGGACCUCUUCUGACGCUGAGGCGCGAAGGCGUGGGGAGCGAACGGG